RNAcentral lists this RNase P RNA (404 nucleotides) under Achromobacter sp. DMS1. RNAcentral's name for it is "bacterial RNase P". It matches the Rfam family "Bacterial RNase P class A". Rfam says of the family: Ribonuclease P (RNase P) is a ubiquitous endoribonuclease, found in archaea, bacteria and eukarya as well as chloroplasts and mitochondria. Its best characterised activity is the generation of mature 5'-ends of tRNAs by cleaving the 5'-leader elements of precursor-tRNAs. Lineage: Bacteria; Pseudomonadati; Pseudomonadota; Betaproteobacteria; Burkholderiales; Alcaligenaceae. The record is from RNAcentral.
AAGGCGGGUCGGGCAAUCGCGGGGGAGAAAUUCCCUCGAGGAAGGUCCGGACUCCACAGGGCAGGAUAGCGGCUAACGGCCGUCCGGCGGCGCUUUCGGGCGUCGCCGAGGAACAGGGCCACAGAGACGAGUCUGCGGGGCGGGCGCGCAUCGCGCGCACAGGUACGGCCAUCUCCGUAUCGCGCCGGCCGGCGACGGCGGGCGGCAUCGCAGGGUGAAACGCGGCAACCUCUAUCCGGAGCAACAUCAAAUAGGCAUGCGCACGGCCUUCGGGCCGGAAAGGGCGGCUCGUCCGAGCAUGCGGGUAGAUGGCUACAGCGGCUCAGCAAUGAUCCGCGCAGAGGAAUGAUUGCCCGCCGGGGAAACCCGGCGUACAGAAUCCGGCCUAUAGACCCGUCUUGUCA